GGGGAGGUACCGAAGCGGUCAAACGGGGCAGACUGUAAAUCUGUUGGCUUAUGCCUUCACAGGUUCGAAUCCUGUCCUCCCCA
This 83-nucleotide transfer RNA is filed under the name Natronogracilivirga saccharolytica. It matches the Rfam family "tRNA". From Rfam's summary of the family: Transfer RNA (tRNA) molecules are approximately 80 nucleotides in length. Their secondary structure includes four short double-helical elements and three loops (D, anti-codon, and T loops). Further hydrogen bonds mediate the characteristic L-shaped molecular structure. tRNAs have two regions of fundamental functional importance: the anti-codon, which is responsible for specific mRNA codon recognition, and the 3' end, to which the tRNAs corresponding amino acid is attached (by aminoacyl-tRNA synthetases). tRNAs cope with the degeneracy of the genetic code in two manners: having more than one tRNA (with a specific anti-codon) for a particular amino acid; and 'wobble' base-pairing, i.e. permitting non-standard base-pairing at the 3rd anti-codon position. Lineage: Bacteria; Pseudomonadati; Balneolota; Balneolia; Balneolales; Cyclonatronaceae. The record is from Rfam by way of RNAcentral.